This 167-nucleotide transfer RNA is filed under the name Microcaldota archaeon. RNAcentral's name for it is "tRNA-OTHER". It matches the Rfam family "tRNA". Rfam says of the family: Transfer RNA (tRNA) molecules are approximately 80 nucleotides in length. Lineage: Archaea; Nanobdellati; Microcaldota. The record is from RNAcentral.
GCCGGAGUAGCUCAGUUGGUUAGAGCGCCAGAAGGAGAAACCAAAGGUUUCUCCUUUCUAAACCUCUUCCUUUGUGGAGGGGCUUUCGCAAAAAGAAAGUAAUGUUUUUCUUUGGCGGUGCCUAACUCAUAACCUGGAGGUCGGGUGUUCAAUUCUCCCCUCCGGCA